GACCAGCUCAGUCUUUGCAGAUGGAUACACAAACACUGAGGGAGCUUCAGCAAUAUUCCAGAGAAAAGGAGAGUCAAAAUCCCAUUUUCAAUGAAAAGAAACUGCGGUGCAAGUUAAAAGCAUACUAAAGGACCUGAUUACCUUCACCUCCUUCCUCUGGAGAACUGGACUGCAACUGAAUCUGGCUUUGCAUGUGCCAUCUCAACACUGCAUGUGGAAUGACUAGCUAGUCCUAAAGCACUACCCACGUGAGUGGAUUUUCAGUAUGUGGUAGCUGUGGGAUUGAACACUAAAUAUUCAGCUAUUAUUCUGUGUAAGACAGCUCUUAGACCCACAGAAUGGAUCACGCAAUGGUCUUCAGUAUAUUUAGGGAUACAUUCUUGUUCACCACCAACGCCAUUAGAAGUACCUAAAAAGUAACAGUCUGAGCUAUCAGUCCUGCAGGUCUUUAGUGCUUAAACCAACUAUGUCAGCAACAAGGGAUGGUGGUUUCACAACCAUCCUUUUUCACACACACCUAUUACCAGACGCACAUUCUCAUACCUGGCGUUCACAGUGUUUGCAAACCAUGUUGCUGGUGAGCCUUCCAUGAAAAGGAUGUGGAGACUUCCAGUGAUUUGACACGAGAGGAAGAGAUCCUGAAACACAAAGUGGAAAUUGUCCUUUUAUUUUCAAUGCAUCUUGUGUUCAUCACUACAAGUCUACAUUUUUGGUCCACUGUAACAAAAGUAACUGCUCUAAAACAUGUUCUGUCUCACUGACACACAAUUAAUGGGUUUUUAACAGCUGAAGAGAUGUAUUUCAGUCCAUACAGACAAAGCUCAAUCAAUAUUAACCCCUUAAUAAACACAGUGACUACACUAUGAAUAUUCAUGUCAGAAUGGAAAAAGGCAUACCUCUUGUUCUGCAGCUUAUUUGCUUUUGGGUUAUUUCUGGCUGCUACAGAGGAAGAUAAAAGAUUUCAUUAACCCUACCUUAGAAAGCACUGAGCAUUAAAUAUGUUCUUAUUUCAUCCCUAAUACACUUUUCUGCCAUUAGAACAAUUGUGUGGGCUUAGUGUCUCUAUGUAUUUGAUGAAGGCCAGAAAACCAGGUACACAGCAAACUUGUAAUUGACAAAAAGAACAAUUCUAGUGAAGUGAAUACUUAGGCUACAGAAUCCUCAGUCUUGGAGUAUAAAAUAAAGCCAUUUUUAUAAC
Long non-coding RNA from Neopsephotus bourkii (Bourke's parrot), 1198 nucleotides. RefSeq lists it as uncharacterized. The transcript has 2 exons. Lineage: Eukaryota; Metazoa; Chordata; Aves; Psittaciformes; Psittacidae. The record is from RefSeq and is a predicted model, not a curated record.